Xenia sp. Carnegie-2017 is the source of this 199-nucleotide long non-coding RNA. RefSeq lists it as uncharacterized. The transcript is spliced from 2 exons. The record is from RefSeq and is a predicted model, not a curated record. NCBI's taxonomy places the organism in Eukaryota, Metazoa, Cnidaria, Anthozoa, Malacalcyonacea, Xeniidae.
GACUACAGUCAAGAACAACUUGAUUUUCAACAUCAUCUUACCGUCAGUGGGUGCAUGCUUUGGCUUAAUCCUCAUAAUAUUGGUAAUAGUUAUUCUGUACCGACGAUGUUUUAGAAGAAGAGAGACAAGAGGACAGAGUCGACAGGUGGUAGUCAUGCAUCAGGCUAACCCAAUUUAUGAUGAAACAUCCUUCAUAUCU